CUGGUGGACCUGUUGUUGCGCCAGCAGCAUUGCAGGGUAGCUAUGUAUGGACGGGAUAACCGCUGAAAGCAUCUAAGCGGGAAACCCACCUCGAGAUAAAUUCUCCCUGAGAGCCGUGGAAGACCACCACGUUGAUAGGCUGGAUGUGGAAGCGCGGUAACGCGUGAAGCUGACCAGUACUAAUUACUCGAUCGACUUGAUAUCAUUCG
This 209-nucleotide ribosomal RNA is filed under the name Alphaproteobacteria bacterium. RNAcentral's name for it is "partial 23S ribosomal RNA". It matches the Rfam family "Bacterial large subunit ribosomal RNA", at positions 2709 to 2925 of the family's 2925-position model. The record is from RNAcentral. Lineage: Bacteria; Pseudomonadati; Pseudomonadota; Alphaproteobacteria.